Molecule: ribosomal RNA, 2515 nt
Filed under: Salmonella enterica
Lineage: Bacteria; Pseudomonadati; Pseudomonadota; Gammaproteobacteria; Enterobacterales; Enterobacteriaceae
Also listed under: 1 other name
Description: partial 23S ribosomal RNA
Rfam family: Bacterial large subunit ribosomal RNA
Source: RNAcentral
CCACCACCAAAGCAUUUGCUGUACCGCGUUGACGGAGCGAAGCGACGUCAAACCGAUAAAACAGCAGUGUAAAGUGAGCCGCAGGGCGCUUUGCGCGACAGCGCAAAGGCAGGCGGUUUCGCGUAGCGAAAGCGAAUGCUUUGGGGUGGGGUGACUGCGUACCUUUUGUAUAAUGGGUCAGCGACUUAUAUUCUGUAGCAAGGUUAACCGAAUAGGGGAGCCGGAGGGAAACCGAGUCUUAAUUGGGCGUUAAGUUGCAGGGUAUAGACCCGAAACCCGGUGAUCUAGCCAUGGGCAGGUUGAAGGUUGGGUAACACUAACUGGAGGACCGAACCGACUAAUGUUGAAAAAUUAGCGGAUGACCUGUGGCUGGGGGUGAAAGGCCAAUCAAACCGGGAGAUAGCUGGUUCUCCCCGAAAGCUAUUUAGGUAGCGCCUCGUGAAUUCAUCUCCGGGGGUAGAGCACUGUUUCGGCUAGGGGGCCAUCCCGGCUUACCAACCCGAUGCAAACUGCGAAUACCGGAGAAUGUUAUCACGGGAGACACACGGCGGGUGCUAACGUCCGUCGUGAAGAGGGAAACAACCCAGACCGCCAGCUAAGGUCCCAAAGUCAUGGUUAAGUGGGAAACGAUGUGGGAAGGCCCAGACAGCCAGGAUGUUGGCUUAGAAGCAGCCAUCAUUUAAAGAAAGCGUAAUAGCUCACUGGUCGAGUCGGCCUGCGCGGAAGAUGUAACGGGGCUAAACCAUGCACCGAAGCUGCGGCAGCGACACUGUGUGUUGUUGGGUAGGGGAGCGUUCUGUAAGCCUGUGAAGGUGUGUCGUGAGGCAUGCUGGAGGUAUCAGAAGUGCGAAUGCUGACAUAAGUAACGAUAAAGCGGGUGAAAAGCCCGCUCGCCGGAAGACCAAGGGUUCCUGUCCAACGUUAAUCGGGGCAGGGUGAGUCGACCCCUAAGGCGAGGCCGAAAGGCGUAGUCGAUGGGAAACGGGUUAAUAUUCCCGUACUUGGUGUUACUGCGAAGGGGGGACGGAGAAGGCUAUGUUGGCCGGGCGACGGUUGUCCCGGUUUAAGCGUGUAGGUGUGUGUUCCAGGUAAAUCCGGUUCACUUUAACACUGAGGCGUGACGACGAGGCACUACGGUGCUGAAGCAACAAAUGCCCUGCUUCCAGGAAAAGCCUCUAAGCAUCAGGUAACAUCAAAUCGUACCCCAAACCGACACAGGUGGUCAGGUAGAGAAUACCAAGGCGCUUGAGAGAACUCGGGUGAAGGAACUAGGCAAAAUGGUGCCGUAACUUCGGGAGAAGGCACGCUGACACGUAGGUGAAGUGAUUUACUCAUGGAGCUGAAGUCAGUCGAAGAUACCAGCUGGCUGCAACUGUUUAUUAAAAACACAGCACUGUGCAAACACGAAAGUGGACGUAUACGGUGUGACGCCUGCCCGGUGCCGGAAGGUUAAUUGAUGGGGUCAGCGCAAGCGAAGCUCCUGAUCGAAGCCCCGGUAAACGGCGGCCGUAACUAUAACGGUCCUAAGGUAGCGAAAUUCCUUGUCGGGUAAGUUCCGACCUGCACGAAUGGCGUAAUGAUGGCCAGGCUGUCUCCACCCGAGACUCAGUGAAAUUGAACUCGCUGUGAAGAUGCAGUGUACCCGCGGCAAGACGGAAAGACCCCGUGAACCUUUACUAUAGCUUGACACUGAACAUUGAGCCUUGAUGUGUAGGAUAGGUGGGAGGCUUUGAAGUGUGGACGCCAGUCUGCAUGGAGCCGACCUUGAAAUACCACCCUUUAAUGUUUGAUGUUCUAACGUGGACCCGUUACCCGGGUUGCGGACAGUGUCUGGUGGGUAGUUUGACUGGGGCGGUCUCCUCCUAAAGAGUAACGGAGGAGCACGAAGGUUGGCUAAUCCUGGUCGGACAUCAGGAGGUUAGUGCAAUGGCAUAAGCCAGCUUGACUGCGAGCGUGACGGCGCGAGCAGGUGCGAAAGCAGGUCAUAGUGAUCCGGUGGUUCUGAAUGGAAGGGCCAUCGCUCAACGGAUAAAAGGUACUCCGGGGAUAACAGGCUGAUACCGCCCAAGAGUUCAUAUCGACGGCGGUGUUUGGCACCUCGAUGUCGGCUCAUCACAUCCUGGGGCUGAAGUAGGUCCCAAGGGUAUGGCUGUUCGCCAUUUAAAGUGGUACGCGAGCUGGGUUUAGAACGUCGUGAGACAGUUCGGUCCCUAUCUGCCGUGGGCGCUGGAGAACUGAGGGGGGCUGCUCCUAGUACGAGAGGACCGGAGUGGACGCAUCACUGGUGUUCGGGUUGUCAUGCCAAUGGCACUGCCCGGUAGCUAAAUGCGGAAGAGAUAAGUGCUGAAAGCAUCUAAGCACGAAACUUGCCCCGAGAUGAGUUCUCCCUGAGACUUAGAGUCUCCUGAAGGAACGUUGAAGACGACGACGUUGAUAGGCCGGGUGUGUAAGCGCAGCGAUGCGUUGAGCUAACCGGUACUAAUGAACCGUGAGGCUUAACCUUACAACGCCGAAG